RNAcentral lists this ribosomal RNA (497 nucleotides) under uncultured bacterium. Its description in RNAcentral is "partial 16S ribosomal RNA". It matches the Rfam family "Bacterial small subunit ribosomal RNA", at positions 28 to 507 of the family's 1533-position model. The record is from RNAcentral.
GAUGAACGCUGGCGGCGUGCCUAAUACAUGCCAGUCGAGCGAACAGAUAAGGAGCUUGCUCCUUUGACGUUAGCGGCGGACGGGUGAGUAACACGUGGGUAACCUACCUAUAAGACUGGGAUAACUUCGGGAAACCGGAGCUAAUACCGGAUAACAUUUGGAACCGCAUGGUUCUAAAGUGAAAGAUGGUUUUGCUAUCACUUAUAGAUGGACCCGCGCCGUAUUAGCUAGUUGGUAAGGUAACGGCUUACCAAGGCAACGAUACGUAGCCGACCUGAGAGGGUGAGCGGCCACACUGGAACUGAGACACGGUCCAGACUCCUACGGGAGGCAGCAGUAGGGAAUCUUCCGCAAUGGGCGAAAGCCUGACGGAGCAACGCCGCGUGAGUGAUGAAGGGUUUCGGCUCGUAAAACUCUGUUAUUAGGGAAGAACAAAUGUGUAAGUAACUGUGCACGUCUUGACGGUACCUAAUCAGAAAGCCACGGCUAACUACGUG